Long non-coding RNA from Homo sapiens (human), 539 nucleotides. The record is from Ensembl. NCBI's taxonomy places the organism in Eukaryota, Metazoa, Chordata, Mammalia, Primates, Hominidae.
UUAGGUGCAAUAUCAUUAAGUUGAAUCAUGCGCCAUUCCUCUCUACACCUCCAAAAAAAAAGAGAGAAAGUAGUUUUCCAUUCAAAGAUGUCUUAGAACACUCAGACCCAUGUAUAAGACACUGAAAAGCAGUGGUGCCCAGGGAGCUCUCCGUUCUUCCCGUUUUCUCAAGAAAUUGAGCUAGGAAGCCAUGUAUAAAGUUACGUCGAAGUUCAGUGUGAGGCCAGGAGUGGUACAGGCUUAUGUCUGUAAUCCCAACAUUUUGGGAAGCCAAGGCAGAAGGGUUGCUUGUGGUCAAGAAUUGGAGACCAGCCUGCGCAAUAUGUCCAGACUCUUGUCUCUACAAAAAAAUAGAAGAGUAAUAAUUUUAAAAAAUCAGACGAGCUUGGUGUAAUCCCGGCUACUACUCAGGAGGCUGAAUCGAGAGGAUGGCUGGAGCCCAGGAGUAGGAGGUUACAGUGACCUAUGAUGUCACCACUGCACUUCAGUCUGGGUGAGAGAGUGAGACUGUUUCUAUAAUAAAAUGAAUUCAAUGUGGG